CUGUUCUGCAAAAUAAAUAGAUUUACAAAUUUAGACGAGUUUGUUCAAUAAACAGUGCCUUGCAAUGAGCUGGCGUGGGAUUAGCACAGGUUCCGUAUAGACAGAGCAUUUUAUAUCAACAUCGACCCUCAGGUUCUCCCAUCAGGGAUUCACUCUGACUGCCUGUCUAUCUGUGAACCUCUGCUCCUCUCUCUGUCACUAUGUCUGUCUGUCUAUCUGCCUGUCUUGCUAUCUCUUUCUGCCUGUGUCUCUCUGUCACUAUGUCUGUCUAUCUGUCUGCCUAUCUGUCUGUCUCUCUUUCUGCCUGUCUCUCUCUG
This is a non-coding RNA of Pelobates cultripes (western spadefoot toad), 317 nucleotides long. Lineage: Eukaryota; Metazoa; Chordata; Amphibia; Anura; Pelobatidae. The record is from the annotation of a GenBank genome assembly.